GGGUUGUGAGGUUAAGCGACUAAGCGUACACGGUGGAUGCCCUGGCAGUCAGAGGCGAUGAAGGACGUGCUAAUCUGCGAUAAGCGCCGGUAAGGUGAUAUGAACCGUUAUAACCGGCGAUUUCCGAAUGGGGAAACCCAGUGUGAUUCGUCACACUAUCAUUAACUGAAUCCAUAGGUUAAUGAGGCGAACCGGGGGAACUGAAACAUCUAAGUACCCCGAGGAAAAGAAAUCAACCGAGAUUCCCCCAGUAGCGGCGAGCGAACGGGGAGGAGCCCAGAGCCUGAAUCAGCAUGUGUGUUAGUGGAAGCGUCUGGAAAGGCGCGCGAUACAGGGUGACAGCCCCGUACACAAAAGCGCAUGUGCUGUGAGCUCGAUGAGUAGGGCGGGACACGUGGUAUCCUGUCUGAAUAUGGGGGGACCAUCCUCCAAGGCUAAAUACUCCUGACUGACCGAUAGUGAACCAGUACCGUGAGGGAAAGGCGAAAAGAACCCCGGCGAGGGGAGUGAAAAAGAACCUGAAACCGUGUACGUACAAGCAGUGGGAGCCUCUUUUAUGGGGUGACUGCGUACCUUUUGUAUAAUGGGUCAGCGACUUAUAUUCUGUAGCAAGGUUAACCGAAUAGGGGAGCCGGAGGGAAACCGAGUCUUAAUUGGGCGUUAAGUUGCAGGGUAUAGACCCGAAACCCGGUGAUCUAGCCAUGGGCAGGUUGAAGGUUGGGUAACACUAACUGGAGGACCGAACCGACUAAUGUUGAAAAAUUAGCGGAUGACCUGUGGCUGGGGGUGAAAGGCCAAUCAAACCGGGAGAUAGCUGGUUCUCCCCGAAAGCUAUUUAGGUAGCGCCUCGUGAAUUCAUCUCCGGGGGUAGAGCACUGUUUCGGCUAGGGGGCCAUCCCGGCUUACCAACCCGAUGCAAACUGCGAAUACCGGAGAAUGUUAUCACGGGAGACACACGGCGGGUGCUAACGUCCGUCGUGAAGAGGGAAACAACCCAGACCGCCAGCUAAGGUCCCAAAGUCAUGGUUAAGUGGGAAACGAUGUGGGAAGGCCCAGACAGCCAGGAUGUUGGCUUAGAAGCAGCCAUCAUUUAAAGAAAGCGUAAUAGCUCACUGGUCGAGUCGGCCUGCGCGGAAGAUGUAACGGGGCUAAACCAUGCACCGAAGCUGCGGCAGCGACGCUUAUGCGUUGUUGGGUAGGGGAGCGUUCUGUAAGCCUGCGAAGGUGGCCUGUGAGGGUUGCUGGAGGUAUCAGAAGUGCGAAUGCUGACAUAAGUAACGAUAAAGCGGGUGAAAAGCCCGCUCGCCGGAAGACCAAGGGUUCCUGUCCAACGUUAAUCGGGGCAGGGUGAGUCGACCCCUAAGGCGAGGCCGAAAGGCGUAGUCGAUGGGAAACGGGUUAAUAUUCCCGUACUUGGUGUUACUGCGAAGGGGGGACGGAGAAGGCUAUGUUGGCCGGGCGACGGUUGUCCCGGUUUAAGCGUGUAGGUGUGUGUUCCAGGUAAAUCCGGUUCACUUUAACACUGAGGCGUGACGACGAGGCACUACGGUGCUGAAGCAACAAAUGCCCUGCUUCCAGGAAAAGCCUCUAAGCAUCAGGUAACAUCAAAUCGUACCCCAAACCGACACAGGUGGUCAGGUAGAGAAUACCAAGGCGCUUGAGAGAACUCGGGUGAAGGAACUAGGCAAAAUGGUGCCGUAACUUCGGGAGAAGGCACGCUGACACGUAGGUGAAGUGAUUUACUCAUGGAGCUGAAGUCAGUCGAAGAUACCAGCUGGCUGCAACUGUUUAUUAAAAACACAGCACUGUGCAAACACGAAAGUGGACGUAUACGGUGUGACGCCUGCCCGGUGCCGGAAGGUUAAUUGAUGGGGUCAGCGCAAGCGAAGCUCCUGAUCGAAGCCCCGGUAAACGGCGGCCGUAACUAUAACGGUCCUAAGGUAGCGAAAUUCCUUGUCGGGUAAGUUCCGACCUGCACGAAUGGCGUAAUGAUGGCCAGGCUGUCUCCACCCGAGACUCAGUGAAAUUGAACUCGCUGUGAAGAUGCAGUGUACCCGCGGCAAGACGGAAAGACCCCGUGAACCUUUACUAUAGCUUGACACUGAACAUUGAGCCUUGAUGUGUAGGAUAGGUGGGAGGCUUUGAAGCGUGGACGCCAGUCUGCGUGGAGCCGACCUUGAAAUACCACCCUUUAAUGUUUGAUGUUCUAACGUGGACCCGUGAUCCGGGUUGCGGACAGUGUCUGGUGGGUAGUUUGACUGGGGCGGUCUCCUCCUAAAGAGUAACGGAGGAGCACGAAGGUUGGCUAAUCCUGGUCGGACAUCAGGAGGUUAGUGCAAUGGCAUAAGCCAGCUUGACUGCGAGCGUGACGGCGCGAGCAGGUGCGAAAGCAGGUCAUAGUGAUCCGGUGGUUCUGAAUGGAAGGGCCAUCGCUCAACGGAUAAAAGGUACUCCGGGGAUAACAGGCUGAUACCGCCCAAGAGUUCAUAUCGACGGCGGUGUUUGGCACCUCGAUGUCGGCUCAUCACAUCCUGGGGCUGAAGUAGGUCCCAAGGGUAUGGCUGUUCGCCAUUUAAAGUGGUACGCGAGCUGGGUUUAGAACGUCGUGAGACAGUUCGGUCCCUAUCUGCCGUGGGCGCUGGAGAACUGAGGGGGGCUGCUCCUAGUACGAGAGGACCGGAGUGGACGCAUCACUGGUGUUCGGGUUGUCAUGCCAAUGGCACUGCCCGGUAGCUAAAUGCGGAAGAGAUAAGUGCUGAAAGCAUCUAAGCACGAAACUUGCCCCGAGAUGAGUUCUCCCUGAGACUUAGAGUCUCCUGAAGGAACGUUGAAGACGACGACGUUGAUAGGCCGGGUGUGUAAGCGCAGCGAUGCGUUGAGCUAACCGGUACUAAUGAACCGUGAGGCUUAACCUUACAACGCCGAAG
RNAcentral lists this ribosomal RNA (2927 nucleotides) under Salmonella enterica subsp. enterica serovar Braenderup. RNAcentral's name for it is "bacterial LSU rRNA". It matches the Rfam family "Bacterial large subunit ribosomal RNA". Lineage: Bacteria; Pseudomonadati; Pseudomonadota; Gammaproteobacteria; Enterobacterales; Enterobacteriaceae. The record is from RNAcentral.